AGAUUGAACGCUGGCGGCAGGCCUAACACAUGCAAGUCGAGCGGUAGAGAGGUGCUUGCAUCUCUUGAGAGCGGCGGACGGGUGAAUAAUGCCUAGGAAUCUGCCUAGUGGUGGGGGAUAACGUUCGGAAACGGACGCUAAUACCGCAUAUGUCCUACGGGAGAAAGCGGGGGACCUUCGGGCCUCGCGCCAUUAGAUGAGCCUAGGUCGGAUUAGCUAGUUGGUGAGGUAAUGGCUCACCAAGGCGACGAUCCGUAACUGGUCUGAGAGGAUGAUCAGUCACACUGGAACUGAGACACGGUCCAGACUCCUACGGGAGCAGCAGUGGGGAAUAUUGGACAAGUGGGCGAAAGCC
Molecule: ribosomal RNA, 355 nt
Filed under: uncultured soil bacterium
Lineage: Bacteria
Description: bacterial SSU rRNA
Rfam family: Bacterial small subunit ribosomal RNA
Source: RNAcentral